Non-coding RNA from Paramuricea clavata, 632 nucleotides. Lineage: Eukaryota; Metazoa; Cnidaria; Anthozoa; Malacalcyonacea; Plexauridae. The record is from the annotation of a GenBank genome assembly.
UACACGCGUAAAAAUUGAUCAGGUUGUUGCAACAUUGUUCACUGAACAACGUUGCAACAAUGAGGUUAUCAUGGCUGAACAACGUUGUUCAAGCGACAAUCGUUAACAACAUUGUUCCAACAACUUGUUCACGCUUGAUGAACGAACAAUGGUUGUUGCAACAUGAUGGAACAAGCGUCAACAAGGUUGAUGAAACAUGCUUGAUAAAUGUUGUGAGAACAAUGUUGUUCAGCGUUGUUCAUUCAUCAGGCGUCAACAAUAUUGUUCGAACAAGCGUGAACAACAUUGAUGAAAGAACAAGUUGUUUUUAGUUGUUCGAACAACCGUGAACAGCACUGUUAUAAAUAGACGGUAAAAUAAUGAUUUGAACAACACGAAAACGUGUUUUUAUUGGUUGUUGCGAACCGCUGGGAUGCAAAACGGACGAAUGCCACGAAUAUCACGAGAGCAAGAAAUCAAACGGGCUUUUACAGCAAAAUAAAUGUCGUUUAAACUUUGUGGUUUUUUCUGAAGAUUGAGGGGAAAAUACUGAAGAAAAUAACUUGGUAAGUGUCUUGUUUUGAGUUAAGGUUAGUUGUAAAAGCUUAAAACAACCCGACCUUUUGAUUUUAGUCAUUUUCAUAGUGCACGAC